Non-coding RNA from Hydra vulgaris (swiftwater hydra), 1511 nucleotides. The record is from RefSeq and is a predicted model, not a curated record. NCBI's taxonomy places the organism in Eukaryota, Metazoa, Cnidaria, Hydrozoa, Anthoathecata, Hydridae.
AGUUAAAUAAAUUUAAUUCAAUAUUAUGUUACAAUCUAGUUGGCAAUCAAUUCGAAAAAAGCUCUAUAAGUAUUGUUAUAUGUCAUUAAAAAAGGCUUCAAUACUGUUAAAUUUUAAAGGUGAAAUUAUCAAAAUUCAGCAAACCUAUCAAAAGGUAUAACGUUUUAGAUAUGUAGAUAAUAGUUCAGUGCUUAAGAUUUUCGGGCAGUUGUAGAUUCAUGCUUUGGACAAAAGUUACAGGAAAUUGUUAUGGAGAUUUUUAAAACAUUUAAAUAUUUAUUUUUUAUAGUUAUUUUUUUUUAAAUAACUAUAAAAAAAUAUAUCUGCAAUACCUUGUAUUUAAAAAAAAAUAUUUUAGUUAUUUUUUUUAAAAUACAAGGUCUUGCAGAAACCUUUGAUACAAAGUUUCCUUUAACUUGAAAAAUUCACAUUAUAAUGAGUCACCCAGCUAACACAAAACGUUCUAGCACGUUCGACGAACGUUGCGAACGUUCGAGCACGUUCUAUGAACGUUUAUAAAUCUUCCGAAAAAUUUUGUAUACACAAUUUAAAAUUAACGUUCAAGCAACGUUGCCACAAAGUUCAUUUAGGUUAGGAAAUAAAGUUCUUAUUAGUAGGAAAAUUAUUACCUAUUUUUAUUUGUUAAUUCUAGGAACCAUUUCAUUGAAAACUUGAAUUUACUAAAGAAAAGAUCUUAUAUGAAGAAAGCAAUCGAAGAAAGAAAGUAUUUUGCUCUAUAACUGAUCAAACGAUAAUCAGAAACUUAAUAGCUUAGUGGUUUUGAAUAAAAUAGAUGUAACUACUAUCCUCAAUAGUUUGCCAGAUAGUGCACCAUCAUAUCAUGAUACGCACUAUUCAUGCACUAUUUUUAUCAUGAUAAAAAUAAACAUUUACAGUAGUCGCGAAGCAGUAGUUAUUGUACUUUAAUCAUUGCGUCGUGUUGAUGUCAAAGAAAACGGAGACUCAAAGAGAAAAAAAAUUUCUUUUGACUUUAUUAUUUUGAGAAUUUUUUAGCGAAUGUAAAGAUGUUUCACUUGCAUUGCCUGUAAAUGAAACUGAUGUAAAUAAGAAUGAUGUAAAUGAAACUGAUGUAAAUGAGACUGAUGUAAAUGAAACUGAUGUAAAUGAGACUCUUUUUAUGCUAGUCCACUAAAAGCAUACUCAUUAAAACAAAACAAAAUACCAAAUUGGUGUUUGUUAUAAAAUAAUAUUAUACUAUUUUAGCAAUAAUAAAUUUAUGUUGAACUAGAAUGUCAUUUUUAUUAAAUUUUAAAAUAAAACAAUAUAUUUUUAAUAGGUUUUGCUUUUACAAAAAACGUAUUUAAAGUUACCUCAUAUGUGGGGUAAAAACAGGUAACUUCGAAUGAUAAUUUGAUUAAUAUUAAACAAAAUCCUUUUGUUUAAAUAUUAUUUUGAAACUGAAUUACGUAAAAGACAACCAUAGCCCCUAUAUUCAUUUUGUUAUAUUUCAAAUAUUAUCAAUAGUGAAGAGCAAGUAAAAAUAUCUCAAA